GGCUUGCCACAAGACCUGCAGCCUUAAACCCAGGGGGGUUAUUGCAGGAGAGGUGGGCUAUGUUCCUGCGUGCCUUCUGGAGUCCCGCAGCAUUUUUCUUUUUCGCUGGAGCCAUGCUGGAGUGUGAGGCCUGUAUUUGAACAAAUCUUGCUCCCGAUUUCAGUGGAUUUUCUCAUUUGAUGAUAUGUCAGCUGUAACUUCUCAACUACUGUGUGUUGCAAUGAGCUAAAUGGUGGAAUUUGUGUUGACAUCUAAUAUUACUCCCUGGCAUAAAUUCAGUGAUCCAUGAAGUCCAAGCAGUGCAGAAGCUUCUGAAACUGUAUUCGGUUGUACUUCCGAAGAGCUUGCUCAGCAAUGCCAACGCAUUACAGAAUCGAUGGGGAACAGGAAGGAGACAAGCAGGAAAACUUUGGUCACCAUCUUCAUGCUUCAUUUUCCAAGAGGACAGCUGUUAGGAAGAGCCAUACAGUUCCUGCAAAAGCCUGGCCUUCGACAGCUCAGAGAAGACAGUAAUCAAACCAAAGUGAAGGGAUGGGCAUAUGGACGCCUGGAUACCUGUCUAAUAUGGCAUCAAGAUGCAGCUGAAACUUACACCCAGACCUAAGUGUGCCAGUCCUGGCUAACUAACUUUGAUGCUCCCAUGACCUGAAUCAACAAAUAGCUUAAAGAUGGCUGCAUGGAUACUCCUCUCACUAAUUGUUUUCUACUGAUAAAUAAUGCCUGCCUCAGACAUAAUGUCUUGGGAGCUCUGGGGACUUUAGACCUUGGAAAUUUUAUGGGUCUGCUGAUCUGAGCUACUGAGGAGACUUUUGCAAAUGUACCUUCAGAUGACACACACACAGAGAGUAAAUCCCUUCAGAACCUCGCUGGUGUUUUUAAAACAGCGUGAAAGGACACGUGUCAGCGGUGCAAGGAAAUCAGGUGAAAGUUGAAGAGCUAGGCUACCCUCUUCUGAGUCAGGAUUUGUGAUUAAGGCCCUAAAUACCAAUGGUGGAAGACAUGUGGUAAGCGGGAUGGGGAGGAAAUUCAUCAUCAGACUACAUCAGGCCACAAGGACCACAGCUUUAAGGCAGCAGGCUCUUUGAAGGAACUUAGCUGAGAGAAAUGCAACAGAAACCCACCCCGGCACGAACCGGAAUAUCGCAGACCAGUUCUUUUUGUAUGGAUUUUGUCUGUGACGGAACAGUCUUUCAGAGAGCAAGUAAGCACAUAUUACAGCAAUUACUCACAGCCUCGCUGCGUGCAAAAGCUCCUGGGGUUUCACCAGAUUUGAGAGUGAGAUUUUCAGAGAGGUCUAACGCGGGCUGUGAAGAAGGAGAGGCAGGCAGGCCUUGCGGAGGGAUGGAGCGGCAUCUGGAAUCCCUGCGGACAACUGCAGGAAUGUUUAUUAUUCUUUGUUUAUUAUUUUGAGUGUGUGCUCUCUCCCUCUUCCUCUCUUUGUCUCCCUUUGUUAUUUGUGUAAUAAAAUUCCUCUAAGCAUAUAAAGUAAGUCAUCUGGAAUUGUGCAACUCCUUCUGCCAGGAACCUGGAAAAGCCCCUCUCCUGUGCAGAGAGAAAAAUACGGACUCAUCUCAACCCUUGAGAAAUUACAGAAAUACAGCAUUUGUCUUUGGGUUACAUUUAUAUAGCAGAGAGCUGUGGCAAAUAGUUGUGCUUCUUACUGUUAAAAAUUCUGCUUUUAUCCUGUCCAAGGUGUUAUGUUUAUUUAAAACCUGAGAAAUAAUUUGUACAUUCUAAAAUAAAGC
Molecule: long non-coding RNA, 1745 nt
Organism: Gymnogyps californianus (California condor)
Lineage: Eukaryota; Metazoa; Chordata; Aves; Accipitriformes; Cathartidae
Exons: 7
Source: RefSeq, a predicted model, not a curated record